Molecule: ribosomal RNA, 298 nt
Filed under: uncultured bacterium
Lineage: Bacteria
Description: partial 16S ribosomal RNA
Rfam family: Bacterial small subunit ribosomal RNA
Source: RNAcentral
AACGAACGCUGGCGGCAUGCUUAACACAUGCAAGUCGAACGAGACCUUCGGGUCUAGUGGCGCACGGGUGCGUAACGCGUGGGAAUCUGCCCUUUGCUACGGAAUAACUCAGAGAAAUUUGUGCUAAAUACCGUAUAAUGUCGCAAGACCAAAGAUUUAUCGGCAAAGGAUGAGCCCGCGUAAGAUUAGCUUGUUGGUGGGGUAAAGGCCUACCAAGGCGACGAUCUUUAGCUGGUCUGAGAGGAUGAUCAGCCACACUGGGGACUGAGACACGGGCCCAGACUCCUACGGGAGGCAG